GAUGAAGAACGCAGCGAAAUGCGAUAAGUAAUGUGAAUUGCAGAAUUCAGUGAAUCAUCGAGUCUUUGAACGCACAUUGCGCCCCCUGGUAUUCCGGGGGGCAUGCCUGUCCGAGCGUCAUUGCUGCCCUCAAGCACGGCUUGUGUGUUGGGCCCCCGUCCCCGGUUCUCCCCGGGGACGGGCCCGAAAGGCAGCGGCGGCACCGCGUCCGAUCCUCGAGCGUAUGGGGCUUUGUCACCCGCUCUGUAGGCCCGGCCGGCGCCAGCCGACACCCCAACUUUAUUUUCUAAGGUUGACCUCGGAUCAGGUAGGGAUACCCGCUGAACUUAAGCAUAUCAAUAAGCGGAGA
RNAcentral lists this unclassified non-coding RNA (349 nucleotides) under soil metagenome. RNAcentral describes it as "partial contains 5.8S ribosomal RNA, internal transcribed spacer 2, and large subunit ribosomal RNA". The stretch from base 1 to 120 matches the Rfam family "5.8S ribosomal RNA", at positions 35 to 154 of the family's 154-position model. The record is from RNAcentral.